Molecule: ribosomal RNA, 253 nt
Filed under: uncultured bacterium
Lineage: Bacteria
Description: partial 16S ribosomal RNA
Rfam family: Bacterial small subunit ribosomal RNA
Source: RNAcentral
UACGGAGGGUGCGAGCGUUUAUCGGAAUUACUGGGCGUAAAGCGUGCGUAGGCGGAUGCUUGAGUCGGAUGUGAAAGCCCCGGGCUCAACCUGGGAAUGGCAUUCGAUACUGGGCAUCUAGAGUGUGGUAGAGGGGGGUAGAAUUCCUGGUGUAGCGGUGAAAUGCGUAGAUAUCAGUAUGUAUAUCUAUGGAUAAGGCGACCACCGAGAUCUACACUGACGCUGAGGUACGAAAGCGUGGGUAGCAAACAGG